GUGAAAAAAAAAAUUGUGACUAUAGUAUUAAACAUGUUAUGGAUAAAAGGCGUUAAAAAUUAAAAAAAAAAAACAAUGACUUAAAUAUGUAACUUAAAAGUCGAUAUUCAAAGUAUACGCAACCCUCAUUCCCGAAACAAUGUUUUAUAUACUCGUAUUAUAAUAAUAAAUUAUAAUAAAUAAUAAUUAUAAAACGUUGUCAAGAAGAAUCUUAGUUUGAGCAGUUAGUUUAAUAUAGUCAAGUGUUAUCUUUUUUAUCUCUUUUAUACUUUUUUAUUAAAUCAACAAGUUUUGGGUCGAUGUUUUGCUUUGGGUCGUUGCCCGAUAUGCCCGAAAUGUCUGGCGAAAUAGUUGUAAAUGCUUGAUAAAUCGUGUCUUUUUUUGGUGCUUAAUCAAUUGAGACGGGGUUUGACAUUGGGCGUGUCCCCUAUUUUAUGUAAAAGUUAUGUUUUCAUUUCCGGCAAUCACUUGAAGAGCGCUCUCCUCGGAUUAAUAGUGUAAAUGUGAACUAUGUGGACAAUGAUACAAACAAAUGCACACGUCAAGGCUAUUUUCGUAAUGCAAGGGGUGAAGGAGCGCUAAAUAAUCGAAUUGCGCGAGCUCAGCGACUUCUGACUUACAUCGUGUGCACGAAAUUGGACCACAAUACAC
Molecule: long non-coding RNA, 651 nt
Organism: Drosophila pseudoobscura
Lineage: Eukaryota; Metazoa; Arthropoda; Insecta; Diptera; Drosophilidae
Exons: 2
Source: RefSeq, a predicted model, not a curated record